Molecule: long non-coding RNA, 482 nt
Organism: Oreochromis aureus
Lineage: Eukaryota; Metazoa; Chordata; Actinopteri; Cichliformes; Cichlidae
Exons: 2
Source: RefSeq, a predicted model, not a curated record
UAGUUUUAUUUUGUUGUAUUCAUCCGCGACACCUCAUUGCCGGUCCGUGAAAAUAUUGUCGGGCAUAAACCGGUCCGUGGCGCAAAAAAGGUUGGGGACCGCUGGUUUAAGGCAUGUCGACGUGGAGGUGCAACAAUCAUACGUCACACCACGAUUAAAGGACUUUGAAGCAGGACAGAAGCCUCCUCGGUCCGCUCUUCUCCCAUCCCAUCCGGGACAGUGUGGUACUGGCGGUUGCAGACUUCAGCCAGGUGCAUCCCGGUGACCACGCCCAGCCGAGCCGCCAGCCUCUGCAGCAGCAGGCCGACGAUGGUGGCACCCAGCAGCACCCAGAGCAGCUGAAAGGAUGAGGGCAGAGAACCGAACAGUUAAUCAGAGCCUGUGAGUUGAUAGGUAACAUGAUUGUGAAGUUGCCCUAAGAUCUGAAAAGAAACUGAAGCCAGGAAGUGGCUUAAAACACCACCAGUAAAUAAUGAAACCUC